This 520-nucleotide ribosomal RNA is filed under the name uncultured Glomus. Its description in RNAcentral is "SSU rRNA". It matches the Rfam family "Eukaryotic small subunit ribosomal RNA", at positions 569 to 1090 of the family's 1831-position model. The record is from RNAcentral. Lineage: Eukaryota; Fungi; Glomeromycota; Glomeromycetes; Glomerales; Glomeraceae.
AGCAGCCGCGGUAAUUCCAGCUCCAAUAGCGUAUAUUAAAGUUGUUGCAGUUAAAAAGCUCGUAGUUGAAUUUCGGGGUUAGUAGGUCGGUCGUGCCACAGGUAUGUACUGGUCUCACUGAUUCCUCCUUCCUGAUGAACCGUAAUGCCAUUAAUUUGGUGUUGCGGGGAAACUGGACUGUUACUUUGAAAAAAUUAGAGUGUUUAAAGCAGGCUAACGCCUUGAAUACAUUAGCAUGGAAUAAUGAAAUAGGACGUUCGAUCCUAUUUUGUUGGUUUCUAGGAUUGACGUAAUGAUUAAUAGGGAUAGUUGGGGGCAUUAGUAUUCAAUUGUCAGAGGUGAAAUUCUUGGAUUUAUUGAAGACUAACUACUGCGAAAGCAUUUGCCAAGGAUGUUUUCAUUAAUCAAGAACGAAAGUUAGGGGAUCGAAGACGAUCAGAUACCGUCGUAGUCUUAACCAUAAACUAUGCCGACUAGGGAUCGGAUGAUGUUAAUUUUUAAUGACUCAUUCGGCGCCUUA